GGCUGAGCCCAGUGCAGUAGUGUUUAUAACCAGUCACAGAUUUCUUUGUUUCUUCUCUACUCUCACUAUUUCAUUUGACUAGCCUUUA
RNAcentral lists this Y RNA (88 nucleotides) under Cebus imitator (Panamanian white-faced capuchin). RNAcentral describes it as "Y RNA (ENSCCAG00000001059.1)". It matches the Rfam family "Y RNA". From Rfam's summary of the family: Y RNAs are components of the Ro ribonucleoprotein particle (Ro RNP), in association with Ro60 and La proteins. The Y RNAs and Ro60 and La proteins are well conserved, but the function of the Ro RNP is not known. The record is from Rfam by way of RNAcentral. Lineage: Eukaryota; Metazoa; Chordata; Mammalia; Primates; Cebidae.